AGAACCUUACCAGGUCUUGACAUCUUUUGAUCACCUGAGAGAUCAGGUUUCCCCUUCGGGGGCAAAUGACAGGUGGUGCAUGGUUGUCGUCAGCUCGUGUCGUGAGAUGUUGGGUUAAGUCCUGCAACGAGCGCAACCCUCGUCGUAUGUUGCCAGCGGUUAGGCCGGGCACCCAUACGAGACCGCCGGCGUCAAGCCGGAGGAAGGUGGGGACGACGUCAAGUCAUCAUGCCCCUUAUGUCCUGGGCUACACACGUGGUCGACGCGGCCG
This 271-nucleotide ribosomal RNA is filed under the name uncultured bacterium. Its description in RNAcentral is "partial 16S ribosomal RNA". It matches the Rfam family "Bacterial small subunit ribosomal RNA", at positions 965 to 1226 of the family's 1533-position model. The record is from RNAcentral.